Molecule: non-coding RNA, 487 nt
Organism: Chelonoidis abingdonii (Abingdon island giant tortoise)
Lineage: Eukaryota; Metazoa; Chordata; Testudines; Testudinidae
Source: RefSeq, a predicted model, not a curated record
CACCUUAUUUGACUCCCUUUAUACAAGAUUUGGUGUCACAACAGGACUUUGGUUGCAACAAUGAUCUAUACAGUCCCAGUUCAUAUUAAUAUCGUCACAACAGGGCCAUGCAGUGGGUGCAGGGCUGCCUCACUCCUGCAUGUAGAUUUCCUGUUGACUCAGAGUAGCCCCCCCUUUGGAGGCUGGGUGAACUGCUAGCCACACCCCGCAGGGAGAGGCAGGAGCAGCAGCUGGGUGCUGCAGGGAGGGGCCACUGCUUUCUGGGAGGGGAGACUGAGAGUAACGGGACAGGGGGGGCUGCCCUAGGGGCCAUGACUCAAGCUGUUCAGGGGUGUACAAACCUUUAAAUUGUGUCCCCACCCCCACUAUCAAUAGAUACAAUGUUGGACGGGCAAUGCCUCUCCAUUCCCACCCAACUCCAUCUAUAAAUGCACUGGGUUUGCAUGGAUAGUUCUGUGUUCUGCACUGCCGUGGGAACUGUCAUGGG